RNAcentral lists this ribosomal RNA (284 nucleotides) under Clostridioides difficile. Its description in RNAcentral is "partial 16S ribosomal RNA". It matches the Rfam family "Bacterial small subunit ribosomal RNA", at positions 248 to 549 of the family's 1533-position model. The record is from RNAcentral. Lineage: Bacteria; Bacillati; Bacillota; Clostridia; Peptostreptococcales; Peptostreptococcaceae.
GUUGGUAAGGUAACGGCUUACCAAGGCGACGAUCAGUAGCCGACCUGAGAGGGUGAUCGGCCACAUUGGAACUGAGACACGGUCCAAACUCCUACGGGAGGCAGCAGUGGGGAAUAUUGCACAAUGGGCGAAAGCCUGAUGCAGCAACGCCGCGCGAGUGAUGAAGGCCUUCGGGUCGUAAAACUCUGUCCUCAAGGAAGAUAAUGACGGUACUUGAGGAGGAAGCCCCGGCUAACUACGUGCCAGCAGCCGCGGUAAUACGUAGGGGGCUAGCGUUAUCCGGA